GAGCGGCGGACGGGUGAGUAACGCGUAGGAAUCUACCUGGUAGUGGGGGACAACUCGGGGAAACUCGAGCUAAUACCGCAUACGCCCUGAGGGGGAAAGCGGGGGAUCUUCGGACCUCGCGCUAUUGGAUGAGCCUGCGUUGGAUUAGCUGGUUGGUGGGGUAAAGGCCUACCAAGGCGACGAUCCAUAGCUGGUCUGAGAGGAUGAUCAGCCACACCGGGACUGAGACACGGCCCGGACUCCUACGGGAGGCAGCAGUGGGGAAUAUUGCGCAAUGGGCGAAAGCCUGACGCAGCCAUGCCGCGUGUGUGAAGAAGGCCUUCGGGUUGUAAAGCACUUUCACUUGGGAAGAAACGCUGUCGGUUAAUACCCGCCAGUUUUGACAUUACCUUGAGAAGAAGCACCGGCUAACUCCGUGCCAGCAGCCGCGGUAAUACGGAGGGUGCGAGCGUUAAUCGGAAUUACUGGGCGUAAAGCGCGCGUAGGCGGUUUGUUAAGUCGGAUGUGAAAGCCCCGGGCUCAACCUGGGAAUUGCACCCGAUACUGGCCGACUGGAGUGCGAGGGAGGGAAGCUAGAAUUCCACGUGUAACGGUGAAAUGCGUAGAUAUGUGGAGGAAUACCGGUGGCGAAGGCGGCCUCCUGGCUCGACACCGACGCUGAGGUGCGAAAGCGUGGGGAGCAAACAGGAUUAGAUACCCUGGUAGUCCACGCCGUAAACGAUGUCGACUAGCCGUUGGGGAACUUGAGUCCUUGGUGGCACAGUUAACGCGAUAAGUCGACCGCCUGGGGAGUACGGCCGCAAGGUUAAAACUCAAAUGAAUUGACGGGGGCCCGCACAAGCGCUGGAGCAUGUGGUUUAAUUCGAUGCAACGCGAAGAACCUUACCAGGCCUUGACAUCCUUGGAAUCCUGCAGAGAUGCGGGAGUGCCUUCGGGAAUCAAGUGACAGGUGCUGCAUGGCUGUCGUCAGCUCGUGUCGUGAGAUCUUGGGUUAAGUCCCGUAACGAGCGCAACCCCUGUCCUUAGUUGCCAGCGCGUAAUGGUGGGAACUCUAAGGAGACUGACGGUGACAAACCGCUCGCAAGGUGGGGACGACGUCAAGUCAUCAUGGCCCUUACGGCCUGGGCUACACACGUGCUACAAUGGAACGCACAGAGGGCAGCGACCCCGCGAGGGUGAGCGAAUCCCACAAAACGUUUCGUAGUCCGGAUUGGAGUCUGCAACUCGACUCCAUGAAGUCGGAAUCGCUAGUAAUCGCGAAUCAGCCUCUCGCGGUGAUACGUUCCCGGGCAUUGUACACACCGCCCGUCACACCAUGGGAGUGGGUUGCUCCAGAAGUGGUUA
Molecule: ribosomal RNA, 1344 nt
Filed under: uncultured organism
Description: 16S ribosomal RNA
Rfam family: Bacterial small subunit ribosomal RNA
Source: RNAcentral